CAGCAGCCGCGGGAAUACGUAGGGUGCGAGCGUUAAUCGGAUUUACUGGGCGUAAAGCGUGCGUAGGCGGCUUCUUAAGUCGGAUGUGAAAUCCCUGAGCUUAACUUAGGAAUUGCAUUCGAUACUGGGAAGCUAGAGUAUGGGAGAGGAUGGUAGAAUUCCAGGUGUAGCGGUGAAAUGCGUAGAGAUCUGGAGGAAUACCGAUGGCGAAGGCAGCCAUCUGGCCUAAUACUGACGCUGAGGUACGAAAGCAUGGGGAGCAAACAGGAUUAGAUACCCCGGUAGUCCCUGUCUCUUAUAC
This 301-nucleotide ribosomal RNA is filed under the name uncultured bacterium. RNAcentral's name for it is "partial 16S ribosomal RNA". It matches the Rfam family "Bacterial small subunit ribosomal RNA", at positions 509 to 807 of the family's 1533-position model. The record is from RNAcentral.